This 465-nucleotide ribosomal RNA is filed under the name Vreelandella stevensii. RNAcentral describes it as "partial 16S ribosomal RNA". It matches the Rfam family "Bacterial small subunit ribosomal RNA", at positions 338 to 795 of the family's 1533-position model. The record is from RNAcentral. Lineage: Bacteria; Pseudomonadati; Pseudomonadota; Gammaproteobacteria; Oceanospirillales; Halomonadaceae.
CCUACGGGGGGCAGCAGUGGGGAAUAUUGGACAAUGGGGGGAACCCUGAUCCAGCCAUGCCGCGUGUGUGAAGAAGGCCCUCGGGUUGUAAAGCACUUUCAGUGAGGAAGAACGCCUGGUGGUUAAUACCCAUCAGGAAAGACAUCACUCACAGAAGAAGCACCGGCUAACUCCGUGCCAGCAGCCGCGGUAAUACGGAGGGUGCGAGCGUUAAUCGGAAUUACUGGGCGUAAAGCGCGCGUAGGUGGCUUGAUAAGCCGGUUGUGAAAGCCCCGGGCUCAACCUGGGAACGGCAUCCGGAACUGUCAAGCUAGAGUGCAGGAGAGGAAGGUAGAAUUCCCGGUGUAGCGGUGAAAUGCGUAGAGAUCGGGAGGAAUACCAGUGGCGAAGGCGGCCUUCUGGACUGAAACUGACACUGAGGUGCGAAAGCGUGGGUAGCAAACAGGAUUAGAUACCCCGGUAGUC